This 413-nucleotide ribosomal RNA is filed under the name uncultured microorganism. Its description in RNAcentral is "bacterial SSU rRNA". It matches the Rfam family "Archaeal small subunit ribosomal RNA", at positions 330 to 745 of the family's 1478-position model. The record is from RNAcentral.
GCGCAGCAGGCGCGAAACCUCCGCAAUACACGAAAGUGUGACGGGGCCAUCCCGAGUGCCGUCCGCUGAGGACGGCUUUUCCCAGUGUACACAGCUGGGGGAAUAAGGAGAGGGCAAGCCUGGUGUCAGCCGCCGCGGUAAUACCAGCUCUCCGAGUGGUGGGGACGCUUAUUGGGCCUAAAACAUCCGUAGCCGGCUGGGCAAGUCCUCCGUUAAAUCCAACGAUUCGAUCGUUGGGCUGCGGGGGAUACUGUCCAGCUUGGGGGCGGGAGAGGCCGACGGUAUUCCCGGGGUAGGGGUGAAAUCCUAUAAUCCCGGGAGGACCACCAGUGGCGAAGGCUGUCGGCUAGAACGCGCCCGACGGUGAGGGAUGAAAGCUGGGGGGAGCGAACCGGAUUAGAUACCCCUGUAGU